This 774-nucleotide ribosomal RNA is filed under the name uncultured Neocallimastigales. Its description in RNAcentral is "partial large subunit ribosomal RNA". It matches the Rfam family "Eukaryotic large subunit ribosomal RNA", at positions 23 to 616 of the family's 3401-position model. The record is from RNAcentral. Lineage: Eukaryota; Fungi; Neocallimastigomycota; Neocallimastigomycetes; Neocallimastigales.
AGAGAGAGACAUGCGCGCAUAUCAAUAAGCGGAGGAAAAGAAACUAACAAGGAUUCCCCUAGUAACGGCGAGUGAAGCGGGAAGAGCUCAAAUUUGAAAUCUUAAAGGGUUUCCCUUUACGAAUUGUAGUUUAAAGAAGUGUUUUCUGUUGAGGUUUUGGUAAAAGUUCUUUGGAAUAAGACAUCAUAGAGGGUGAGAAUCCCGUAUUUGACCUUUACUUUCAACUUUGUGAUACACUUUCAAAGAGUCGGAUUGUUUGGGAAUGCAGUCCAAAAUGGGUGGUAAAUUUCAUCUAAAGCUAAAUAUUGGCGAGAGACCGAUAGCGAACAAGUACCGUGAGGGAAAGAUGAAAAGAACUUUGAAAAGAGAGUUAAACAGUACGUGAAAUUGUCAAAAGGGAAGCGUUUGACACCAGUGUUGUUUUUCUGAAAAUCAAUUAAAGAACUGUUUAUGCUAAGUUGUUUAGACUUUAUCAGCUAUCUGUUUAGUUUUGAGCUUUUCUUUAAUGCACUUUUCAGUUAACAAGUCAACAUCAAUUUCUUUUGCUGUAAAAAAGCUUGAGGAAGGUGGCUUGAGAUUCGUCUUAAGUGUUUAUAGCCUCUUGCCUAUGCAGUCGGAGAGAUUGAGGUCUGCAGCGUAGAUCCUUCGGGGCUAAAUGCAUUUGUGCUAAGUUAUAGCAUUUUAUAGACAACUUGUUGACUAUGAUUUGUCUUGUAGCUUACUCGCUUAUGUUAUUUUACCUACGCUUAGGAUGUUGAGCGCAUGUCUCUCUCU